Molecule: long non-coding RNA, 1191 nt
Organism: Engraulis encrasicolus (European anchovy)
Lineage: Eukaryota; Metazoa; Chordata; Actinopteri; Clupeiformes; Engraulidae
Exons: 3
Source: RefSeq, a predicted model, not a curated record
UCAAGCUUCAUUUUGCUCACGACGAGUGCGUUUUAAGAGCUUAAAGUUAGCAGGCUAGGCAUUUGGCAUGAUGACAAAGUUGUUUUGCAAAGAAGACCAAAAUGCACGUUUACAGAGACCUUAAGUUAACAUGUUGUAAGUGCAAUGUUUCACUGAAAUCCAGCUCCGUGUGCUGCAUGACUGAGAGACAUAGCCUACCGGUACAAACCUGUUUCCUACGAUGGUCCAGUCAGAUAUUUGUAAUGUAGGCUAUAAGGAUUCAAGUGUGUUUGAUACUUUUGCUGGUAAGCAUUGCAAUAAAAGAGGGAGCCGGAUAGUCAAUUCAAGCGGUCAGAUCAGAGAACCUUUAUUGAAAUCGGUUGGAACAAUCAUUCAUUUUGCCACUGUCGUGUUCUCCAUAGCUGGUGACGACAGUAGGCAAGACGGCCGCAGUUGACUUGAGACCGGAGACCGAAAUAUGGAUUUUGUAGGCUAUGUAUUCAGCGAUCCACAACGGGUAUACACAAGGAGGUCUACAUAAGUCAUUGGAUAUACACAACUAGUUGCUGAUCGGCGGCCCUUGUACGGAGGUUGUCACACACAGCCAACAAAACCACAUGGGCAACAUGGAAGAGCAAUUGCCAAAGCUUUUGGGCCUUUGCCUGGAUUUCAUCACACAGCAGCAAUAGGUCUCUAGGACUCUGGUUAGGUAGCCUGUAUACACUUUAUUUCUGGAAGGUGAUGUGGGUGUCAUGUUACUUCAGCAAGCAGCACAACGCAUACAGUUCAUAACAUUUCAUCCAGGCAAGUUUUUCUCAUUUUCAUUUAGGGAGCUGCCAAUCCCAAUAGUGGUAACACAAGUGCAGAGAUUUCAUGUAGACUAUGGAACUCAACUAAAGGGGUCACUAGUAACAUAAUGAUAACAGCAAUAGCAACACCACACGCACAAAGUAAAUUGAAUAAUUUUUGUGAUUCCAAAUGACCUAUUCUUGAUGAAGGCACAAUCUCUACAUUUCUUUGCUGUACAGGAAAAAUCAGGCAUACUGCAUAUCGGCAGUUGGUGAGAUGGCGUGGGAGUUCGUAGGCUAUGUUUGGGUUCCACUGCAAUCCUGUGCCGUCACAAAGAUCUGGCAGAUCUUUAAAUCCACACAUCGUACAGGUUUCCAGGAUGUGAUUUAUUUGUGGCAAAUAAAAGACAGUACACCUGAAUCA